RNAcentral lists this ribosomal RNA (253 nucleotides) under uncultured bacterium. Its description in RNAcentral is "partial 16S ribosomal RNA". It matches the Rfam family "Bacterial small subunit ribosomal RNA", at positions 524 to 776 of the family's 1533-position model. The record is from RNAcentral.
UACGGAGGGAGCUAGCGUUGUUCGGAAUUACUGGGCGUAAAGCGCGCGUAGGCGGCUAUUCAAGUCAGAGGUGAAAGCCCGGGGCUCAACCCCGGAACUGCCUUUGAAACUAGAUAGCUAGAAUCUGGGAGAGGUGAGUGGAAUUCCGAGUGUAGAGGUGAAAUUCGUAGAUAUUCGGAAGAACACCAGUGGCGAAGGCGGCUCACUGGACCAGUAUUGACGCUGAGGUGCGAAAGCGUGGGGAGCAAACAGG